CAGUUCAGAUUGCAGGCUGCAACUCGCCUGCAUGAAGUCGGAAUUGCUAGUAAUCGUAGGUCAGCAUACUACGGUGAAUACGUUCCCGGGCCUUGUACACACCGCCCGUCAAACCAUGAGAGUUGGCAACACCCGAAGUCGGUAGUCUAACCGCAAGGAGGACGCCGCCGAAGGUGGGGUCGAUGAUUAGGGUUAAGUCGUAACAAGGUAGC
RNAcentral lists this ribosomal RNA (212 nucleotides) under uncultured bacterium. RNAcentral describes it as "partial 16S ribosomal RNA". It matches the Rfam family "Bacterial small subunit ribosomal RNA", at positions 1289 to 1500 of the family's 1533-position model. The record is from RNAcentral.